UAUAAAAAUUUUCAUUUAUUUCUACUGUUAAAAACUAGCAUGUUUGAAGGAAUUAACUAGACAAUUAUAUGUGGUGUGCCACCCCUACCUUAUUCUGAUAUGCAGGGACCAGUUUUUAGUAGAAGAAAUGGAUGAAAUUUUUAGCA
Non-coding RNA from Gossypium hirsutum (cotton), 146 nucleotides. The record is from Rfam. NCBI's taxonomy places the organism in Eukaryota, Viridiplantae, Streptophyta, Magnoliopsida, Malvales, Malvaceae.